RNAcentral lists this ribosomal RNA (406 nucleotides) under uncultured bacterium. RNAcentral's name for it is "partial 16S ribosomal RNA". It matches the Rfam family "Bacterial small subunit ribosomal RNA", at positions 30 to 526 of the family's 1533-position model. The record is from RNAcentral.
AUUGAACGCUGGCGGCAGGCCUAACACAUGCAAGUCGAACGAGUGGCGGACGGGUGAGUAAUGUCUGGGAAACUGCCUGAUGGAGGGGGAUAACUACUGGAAACGGUAGCUAAUACCGCAUACCAUCGGAUGUGCCCAGAUGGGAUUAGCUAGUAGGUGGGGUAAAGGCUCACCUAGGCGACGAUCCCUAGCUGGUCUGAGAGGAUGACCAGCAGCACUGGAACUGAGACACAGGCCAGAUUCCUACGGGAGGCAGAAGUGGGGACUUUGGCACAAUGGACGCAAGCCUGAUGCAGCCAUGCCGCGUGUAUGUAGAAGGCCUUCGGUUUGUAAAGUACUUUCAGCGGAGAUGCGUUACCCGCAGAGGAAGCCCCGGCUAACUCCGUGCCAGCAGCCGCGGUAAUAC